UGACCUCAAAUCAGGUAGGACUACCCGCUGAACUUAAGCAUAUCAAUAAGCGGAGGAAAAGAAACUAACAAGGAUUCCCCUAGUAACUGCGAGUGAAGCGGGAAAAGCUCAAAUUUAAAAUCUGGCAGUCUUUGGCUGUCCGAGUUGUAAUCUAGAGAAGUGCUAUCCGCGCUGGACCGUGUACAAGUCUCCUGGAAUGGAGCGUCAUAGAGGGUGAGAAUCCCGUCUUUGACACGGACUACCAGGGCUUUGUGAUGUGCUCUCAAAGAGUCGAGUUGUUUGGGAAUGCAGCUCAAAAUGGGUGGUAAAUUCCAUCUAAAGCUAAAUAUUGGCGAGAGACCGAUAGCGAACAAGUACCGUGAGGGAAAGAUGAAAAGAACUUUGGAAAGAGAGUUAAACAGUACGUGAAAUUGCUGAAAGGGAAACGCUUGAAGUCAGUCGCGUUGUCCAGGGAUCAACCUUGCUUUUGCUUGGUGCACUUYCUGGUUGACGGGUCAGCAUCAAUUUUGACUGUUGGAAAAAGAUCAAGGGAAUGUGGCAUCUCUGGAUGUGUUAUAGCCCUUGGUUGCAUACAAUGGUUGGGAUUGAGGAACUCAGCACGCCGCAAGGCCGGGUUUUUAACCACGUACGUGCUUA
RNAcentral lists this ribosomal RNA (636 nucleotides) under Cortinarius clandestinus. RNAcentral's name for it is "eukaryotic LSU rRNA". It matches the Rfam family "Eukaryotic large subunit ribosomal RNA", at positions 1 to 615 of the family's 3401-position model. The record is from RNAcentral. Lineage: Eukaryota; Fungi; Basidiomycota; Agaricomycetes; Agaricales; Cortinariaceae.